UACGUAGGUCCCGAGCGUUGUCCGGAUUUAUUGGGCGUAAAGCGAGCGCAGGUGGUUUAUUAAGUCUGGUGUAAAAGGCAGUGGCUCAACCAUUGUAUGCAUUGGAAACUGGUAGACUUGAGUGCAGGAGAGGAGAGUGGAAUUCCAUGUGUAGCGGUGAAAUGCGUAGAUAUAUGGAGGAACACCGGUGGCGAAAGCGGCUCUCUGGCCUGUAACUGACACAGAGGCUCGAAAGCGUGGGGAGCAAACAGG
Molecule: ribosomal RNA, 252 nt
Filed under: uncultured bacterium
Lineage: Bacteria
Description: partial 16S ribosomal RNA
Rfam family: Bacterial small subunit ribosomal RNA
Source: RNAcentral